AGAUUCGUGAAAGAUGAAAAUCUUUCACGGUCUUUACUGUGGAGGAAGGCACAUCAAAACAAAAAUGGAGAAUACGAUGGCGAUGAUGUUAGGGAAAAGGCAGCACAGCUUGAGGAGUUUGAUAAGCAGCUGGAAGUGGAAGAUGGAACUUUGACGAAAAAAGCAGGCACUGAGCUUGGCCUACAGAGUUUGUGAUCUUUAUUCCUUAAUUUAGUCUACCUGUUAUAACAAAUAUGUGGAACCAUGUACAUGCUUGUUGUAAUGUAGCUUAAUGCUAUAAUGCUGUGUGUUGUGUGAUACCUGGGUCCAAUUACUUAUUUUUCUGUAUUCUAGCUUUGGCUUGAAACCAACACUAGCAAAUAUGAGAUAACUGUAUUUUGUCCCCGCUGCACAUAUUUUCCCACAAUUCGCACAUGAGCAUAUAACUGUUAGCAUAAUACUAUUUAUAUGUUUUGAGGCAGUUAACAGAGAACAUUUAAGUUAUUACCUUAUGCAUCCUGAGCAUAUAACUGUUAUCAUGGUUUGUUCCCUAAUUAUACAUCCACUUGCUUGCUGCAGGGCCAGCCACUUUCAGACCCUGAUGAACAUGAUGCUGACUCAAACACUAAGAAGAUAAAGAACAAGAAACCUUCAGAUACAAAGAGUGGGGAACUGAAGUCUCGGAGAUCCAGCAAAAGACUCAAGACUGCAGCCUAAUUAUUAAGAGAAAUAGACUGUAGAAUUUGGAUGUUUAAACUUGUAAAUCUCCCUUUGAAAUUUUGUUAUCUUAAGGUUAUUGCAUGAUUGGUCAGAUAUUGAGAGUUUAUCAUAUGGUUAAUAAAAAUUAUUUUGGUUCAAUUC
Molecule: long non-coding RNA, 840 nt
Organism: Papaver somniferum (opium poppy)
Lineage: Eukaryota; Viridiplantae; Streptophyta; Magnoliopsida; Ranunculales; Papaveraceae
Exons: 2
Source: RefSeq, a predicted model, not a curated record